GAUGAAGAACGUAGCGAAACGCGAUAAGUAAUGUGAAUUGCAGAAUCCAGUCAAUCAUCGAAUCUUUGAACGCACAUUGCGCCCGCCAGCAUUCUGGCGGGCAUGCCUGUUCGAGCGUCAUUUCAACCCUCGACCUCCCCUUGGGGAGGUCGGCGUUGGGGACCGGCAGCACACCGCCGGCCCUGAAAUGGAGUGGCGGCCCGUCCGCGGCGACCUCUGCGCAGUAAUACAGCUCGCACCGGGACCCCGACGCGGCCACGCCGUAAAACACCCAACUUCUGAACGUUGACCUCGAAUCAGGUAGGACUACCCGCUGAACUUAAGCAUAUCAAUAAGCGGAGGA
Molecule: unclassified non-coding RNA, 343 nt
Filed under: soil metagenome
Description: partial contains 5.8S ribosomal RNA, internal transcribed spacer 2, and large subunit ribosomal RNA
Rfam family: 5.8S ribosomal RNA (bases 1-120)
Source: RNAcentral